This 760-nucleotide ribosomal RNA is filed under the name Bacillus pumilus. Its description in RNAcentral is "bacterial SSU rRNA". It matches the Rfam family "Bacterial small subunit ribosomal RNA", at positions 45 to 788 of the family's 1533-position model. The record is from RNAcentral. Lineage: Bacteria; Bacillati; Bacillota; Bacilli; Caryophanales; Bacillaceae.
UGCCUAAUACAUGCAAGUCGAGCGGACAGAAGGGAGCUUGCUCCCGGAUGUUAGCGGCGGACGGGUGAGUAACACGUGGGUAACCUGCCUGUAAGACUGGGAUAACUCCGGGAAACCGGAGCUAAUACCGGAUAGUUCCUUGAACCGCAUGGUUCAAGGAUGAAAGACGGUUUCGGCUGUCACUUACAGAUGGACCCGCGGCGCAUUAGCUAGUUGGUGAGGUAACGGCUCACCAAGGCGACGAUGCGUAGCCGACCUGAGAGGGUGAUCGGCCACACUGGGACUGAGACACGGCCCAGACUCCUACGGGAGGCAGCAGUAGGGAAUCUUCCGCAAUGGACGAAAGUCUGACGGAGCAACGCCGCGUGAGUGAUGAAGGUUUUCGGAUCGUAAAGCUCUGUUGUUAGGGAAGAACAAGUGCAAGAGUAACUGCUUGCACCUUGACGGUACCUAACCAGAAAGCCACGGCUAACUACGUGCCAGCAGCCGCGGUAAUACGUAGGUGGCAAGCGUUGUCCGGAAUUAUUGGGCGUAAAGGGCUCGCAGGCGGUUUCUUAAGUCUGAUGUGAAAGCCCCCGGCUCAACCGGGGAGGGUCAUUGGAAACUGGGAAACUUGAGUGCAGAAGAGGAGAGUGGAAUUCCACGUGUAGCGGUGAAAUGCGUAGAGAUGUGGAGGAACACCAGUGGCGAAGGCGACUCUCUGGUCUGUAACUGACGCUGAGGAGCGAAAGCGUGGGGAGCGAACAGGAUUAGAUACCCU